Molecule: ribosomal RNA, 113 nt
Filed under: Acanthosepion pharaonis
Lineage: Eukaryota; Metazoa; Mollusca; Cephalopoda; Sepiida; Sepiidae
Source: RNAcentral
UAUGGCCACAUCACAUUGAAACACCGGUUUCCGUAUGAUCACCGCAGUUAAGCAACGUCAAACAUGGUCAGUACCUAGAUGGGAGACCGCUAGGGAAUACCAGGUGCUGUAGG